Molecule: long non-coding RNA, 238 nt
Organism: Sarcophilus harrisii (Tasmanian devil)
Lineage: Eukaryota; Metazoa; Chordata; Mammalia; Dasyuromorphia; Dasyuridae
Exons: 3
Source: RefSeq, a predicted model, not a curated record
UCUCCUGGCCGUGACCUUAAAGGGGAAGAGGCCUCCUCGCGCCGCCCCUUCUUAACAUUAAAAAAAAAAAUCAGUGGUGUGGGAGGAGGAAAAACCGCACAAGACUUUUCAGUGAAGAAAAAGACAAUCCUGCCAUUUCAAAAUUCAUGGAAACAAUUGGCUAAGGCCCAGUAAGCAAGCUGUGCCCUGAGCUUGGCAUAACAACAAUCCUUGGUGCUUACCCUCUGGAAAAACUCAG